RNAcentral lists this ribosomal RNA (906 nucleotides) under Gonatophragmium epilobii. RNAcentral's name for it is "LSU rRNA". It matches the Rfam family "Eukaryotic large subunit ribosomal RNA", at positions 38 to 960 of the family's 3401-position model. Lineage: Eukaryota; Fungi; Ascomycota; Dothideomycetes; Acrospermales; Acrospermaceae. The record is from RNAcentral.
GCAUAUCAAUAAGCGGAGGAAAAGAAACCAACAGGGAUUGCCUCAGUAACGGCGAAGUGAAGCGGCAACAGCUCAAAUUUGAAAUCUGGCGCCCCUGGGCGUCCGAAGUUGUAAUUUGCAGAGGAUGCUUCGGGAUCGGCGCUGCCCCAGGUUCUUUGGAACAGGACGCCAUAGAGGGUGAGAGCCCCGUCUCUGGGCGGCAGCCGAAACCGUGUGAAGCGCCUUCGACGAGUCGAGUUGUUUGGGAAUGCAGCUCAAAACGGGAGGUAAAUUUCUUCCAAGGCUAAAUACAGGCCGGAGACCGAUAGCGCACAAGUAGAGUGAUCGAAAGAUGAAAAGUACUUUGGAAAGAGAGUCAAACAGCGCGUGAAAUUGUUGAAAGGGAAGCGCUUGCAGUCAGACUUGGCCGCCCGGUUCGGCGGGGCCUCGCGCCCCGUCUCCGCCGUGGCGGUCAGGCCAGCAUUGGUUCGGGCGACCGGAGAAAGGCUGCGGGAAUGUGGCUCCUCUCGGGGAGUGUUAUAGCCCGCGGCAGAAUACGGCCAGCCCGGACCAAGGAACGCGCUUCGGCUCGGAUGCUGGCGUAAUGGCUGCAAGCGGCCCGUCUUGAAACACGGACCAAGGAGUCUAACAUCUGUGCGAGUGUUUGGGUGUCAAGCCCUUGCGCGCAAUGAAAGUGAACGGAGGUGGGAGCCCUCGGGCGCACCAUCGACCGAUCCUGAUGUCUUCGGAAGGAUUUGAGUAAGAGCACAGCUGUUGGGACCCGAAAGAUGGUGAACUAUGCCUAAGCAGGGUGAAGCCAGAGGAAACUCUGGUGGAGGCUCGCAGCGGUUCUGACGUGCAAAUCGAUCGUCAAAUUUGGGUAUAGGGGGCGAAAGACUAAUCGAACCAUCUAGUAGCUGGUUCUGC